This 74-nucleotide transfer RNA is filed under the name Streptomyces harbinensis. RNAcentral's name for it is "tRNA-Leu". It matches the Rfam family "tRNA". From Rfam's summary of the family: Transfer RNA (tRNA) molecules are approximately 80 nucleotides in length. Their secondary structure includes four short double-helical elements and three loops (D, anti-codon, and T loops). The record is from RNAcentral. Lineage: Bacteria; Bacillati; Actinomycetota; Actinomycetes; Kitasatosporales; Streptomycetaceae.
GCCCGGAUACGCCAAUGGACCGAGCGGCUGCCCUUAAAAGGCAGCGGUUGCCGGUUCGAAUCCGGCUCCGGGCA